RNAcentral lists this ribosomal RNA (373 nucleotides) under uncultured bacterium. RNAcentral describes it as "bacterial SSU rRNA". It matches the Rfam family "Bacterial small subunit ribosomal RNA", at positions 1135 to 1506 of the family's 1533-position model. The record is from RNAcentral.
UCACUUUAGCGAGAAUGCCGUUGACAAAACGGAGGAAGAGUGGGGAGACGUCAAUCAUCAUGCCCCUUAUGACCUGGGCUACACACGUACUACAAUGGCGGUCAUACAAAGGGAAGCAAACCUGUAAGGCAAACCAAAUCCCUAAAAGCUGUCCCAGUUCAGAUUGCAGGCUGCAACUCGCCUGCAUGAAGUCGGAAUUGCUAGUAAUCGCGGAUCAGCAUGCCGCGGUGAAUACGUUCCCGGGCCUUGUACACACCGCCCGUCACACCAUGAAAGCCGGUAAUGCCCGAAGUCCGUAAUCUAACCGCAAGGAGGACGUGGCCGAAGGCGGGACUGGUAAUUGGGGUGAAGUCGUAACAAGGGUAACCGUAAA